GGGCGGGGGGCCCAGCCGGGGCCCCUCAGGCGGGGGUCGGGAGAGCCGGGCUAGUGGGUUUCACCCAGCCAGUGAGGCUCGCCCGGCCGGAGCACAGUGGUCUUUAAGCCCCCAUGAGCUCCGGAUAGCUUUUUGGAACAAGAGCUCUGGACUGCAGAAGAUGAAGGCAAAUGCACCUUAGCGAUGUUGGUAUAAGCACUUCCACGGUGAUAAACUAGAAGUGAAAUUAAAAAACCCACCCACAUUACUUAUGAAAAUCAGAGUUAUAAUGCUUCAGACAUGGAGUCACAGAUGCUAGAACAAAUUUGGUGUGUUCCCAGACAUUGUCACAGUAACUGCCUGCAGGCUUUUUGCAAUAUGAAUCAAAUGGAUUUCAGCUAACAUUGAAGCUAAUUUGAUGAUCACUAUUUAGGAAGAUCAUAGACAAGGACAUCUGUGGGAACUGUUGUGACUUCUACUUAUGAAACUCUGGCUGAGAAUGAUGAAGGCUCUGGACUGAAAUUUGCUGAACUUGCCAUGGCCCUGUUCCUGAUAAAGUAAUGUUUCUGUUUACAGAGCUGUCAAAUCUUGCACUGCCACUUGCUUUCUAAUUAUCCAACAGUAUCUAAUGAUGAUGUAAUUUCACUAUUAUUCACACAAUGUCCUGGUUUGAACAGGAGAAGGAAACAAUUUAUUAAAAACAACAAACAAAACUCAAGCCUUUUUCCUAACUUUCUUUAUCUGUUGCUGCAGGUUUGCUCCUACUAGCAGAACCUUUUAAGGUAUAAAUCUAGAAUUAGCCCAAUUCACAUAUUUUAAAAGAAGGCAUUGAAUAUUGCUAGCAAAAGUAGCUGGAUAAAUUUAUAUGUCCAUGUAUUAGUUUCCAGUAAAUGAAGGUGUUGCAUGCGGAAACCAAAGUCAGUAAUGAAUGACUUUUGUAAUGAGAAUAAGGAGUGAGCAGCAAAAGCAGGCAGCUCUGACUUUGCAGUAAUUUCAUGUAGACACAUGAUUUUUUGUAUGCUUCUUAGGGAUUUAAAUUCCAUAACUCAGUUUAAGGUUACUGACUAGGAAGCUAUGACAGAUUACUGGUCCUUUGCAGGCUCUUAAUAAUGCAGUGUAAUUUAAAACUUUUUGAGCCUGUGUGAAAGAAAAGCCAUGUGGUUUCUCUGUGCUGUGGUCAAAAACUUGGCCAGGUGGAUGCUGCAAGGAAGCCUGUCAGGUUUGUUUGGGUGCAAAGUAUUUUAAGUACCUCACUUGAAACAGGGUUACAACAUACACAGUGCUAUUGUAAAAGAAACAGAAAUGAUUAAGUGUUCACAAAUUGGAAGUCAUUUAAACUCUGAGAAUGCAUGCAAGUGUCUUAGUUGCAGGAUCAUCUUCAUAUAUAAGUGAAUUGGUAAAUUCUUGAUUUUCCUGUUGUUCUAGGUACUGAACAUACCUGAAGGUACUACUUCAGUACCUGAAGGUAGAACUGUCCUUACAUUUGGGGUUAUCUUGUGUGUGCCAUUGGGAUUAGUCACUUCAGCUAAAAGGCACUGGAGAACUUUCUGGAUUUUUAUUAAUAUGUCUAGUAGGUGUCUGUGCACAAAUGUUUGAUUUUGCUAGAUAAUAAAUCAUGUAUUGGUUUGAAAAAAGCUGGUAUGGAUGUCUGGUUCCAGAAUAUAUAUCCUGGAAAGUCUCCCACAAUGUUUAGAUGGGUAGGGAUCUAGUGAAGGGCAGUGGUGAGAAACUAGUGCUGAUAGCAAAGACUCAGGUUUGGAGCAAUGCAGCUGGUGACUAAGUAGCUGCACUCCCAGAUGGAUUGCCAGAGUUUAGGUAGGCACAGUGCAAGGCACUGGUCUCAGGCUUGCAUCAGCUGUGGUUUCCAGGUUUGUGCAUGAGCAUUUUUUUCUGUACUCUUCACCAAGGAUCCAGCUCAGUUCCCCUGAAAUGCAAUGACAAAAUCCUUUGCAACUCCCUUGGGUGCCUUGCUGAUCGGAGAUGCACAGUUCAUUGGUAACAGUAAGUGACAACCUGGUGGCUUUAGAGCUCCACUUACUGUGUGUGACUGCAGAGCAGAGGCAAAUGUAUUUGUAUGUGUAUGGGUGUGUGAAAUUUGGCAUCCAGACUGUGAAAUGCUGUCAAUUGGCAGCAGAGCAAUCAAAGAGCUUUUAUUGCUAUCUCUUCUCUUGAGGAGCUUGUUGUGAUCAAUAUGUAAUCACUGUGAAAAAGAAUCAAAAGAUCUAAUAUUCCUUAUAUUUAUAUGUACACACGUGUAUAUAUUUUGUUUUCAUUAUAAAUACUUUGAUACUUUUCCUGACCAUAA
Molecule: long non-coding RNA, 2284 nt
Organism: Parus major (Great Tit)
Lineage: Eukaryota; Metazoa; Chordata; Aves; Passeriformes; Paridae
Exons: 4
Source: RefSeq, a predicted model, not a curated record